This 429-nucleotide ribosomal RNA is filed under the name Bacteroidota bacterium. Its description in RNAcentral is "Bacteroidetes bacterium partial 16S ribosomal RNA". It matches the Rfam family "Bacterial small subunit ribosomal RNA", at positions 355 to 776 of the family's 1533-position model. The record is from RNAcentral. Lineage: Bacteria; Pseudomonadati; Bacteroidota.
UAGGGAAUCUUCCGCAAUGGACGCAAGUCUGACGGAGCAACGCCGCGUGAGUGAAGAAGGAUUUCGGUUCGUAAAACUCUGUUGUUAGAGAAGAACAGCGCAUAGAGUAACUGUUAUGCGUGUGACGGUAUCUAACCAGAAAGCCACGGCUAACUACGUGCCAGCAGCCGCGGUAAUACGUAGGUGGCAAGCGUUGUCCGGAUUUAUUGGGCGUAAAGCGAGCGCAGGCGGUCAAUUAAGUCUGAUGUGAAAGCCCCCGGCUCAACCGGAGAGGGUCAUUGGAAACUGGUUGACUUGAGUGCAGAAGAGGAGAGUGGAAUUCCAUGUGUAGCGGUGAAAUGCGUAGAUAUAUGGAGGAACACCAGUGGCGAAGGCGACUCUCUGGUCUGUAACUGACGCUGAGGCUCGAAAGCGUGGGUAGCAAACAGG